GUGGGGAAUUUUGGACAAUGGGCGAAAGCCUGAUCCAGCCAUGCCGCGUGCAGGAUGAAGGCCUUCGGGUUGUAAACUGCUUUUGUACGGAACGAAAAGACUCCUUCUAAUAAAGGGGGUCCAUGACGGUACCGUAAGAAUAAGCACCGGCUAACUACGUGCCAGCAGCCGCGGUAAUACGUAGGGUGCAAGCGUUAAUCGGAAUUACUGGGCGUAAAGCGUGCGCAGGCGGUUAUAUAAGACAGAUGUGAAAUCCACGGGCUCAAACUGGGAACUGCAUUUGUGACUGUAUAGCUAGAGUACGGUAGAGGGGGAUGGAAUUCCGCGUGUAGCAGUGAAAUGCGUAGAUAUGCGGAGGAACACCGAUGGCGAAGGCAAUCCCCUGGACCUGUACUGACGCUCAUGCACGAAAGCGUGGGGAGCAAACAGGAUUAGAAACCCCGGUAGUCC
Molecule: ribosomal RNA, 450 nt
Filed under: uncultured bacterium
Lineage: Bacteria
Description: bacterial SSU rRNA
Rfam family: Bacterial small subunit ribosomal RNA
Source: RNAcentral